UCUAACGUAUUGGUCAGUGGUGUGUAGAUAUAUUGGCAAUCACGUUUUAUUCUGUUUUUAUGUUUUGUUACGGAUGUACUUUUUAUGUGUACUAUACUAUUAAUGUAGAUGCGUGCCGAGAAAAUAACCCUAUUGGCGACUGUUACAAAACCUUUGAAGCCGCUGUUUUACCUAAUUUUGAAAACAAGGCAGCAGUUUGUCCAGCAUACAGAAAUUAUAUCAACUGUACAGAGGGUGUGGCCUGUUUGUGUGGGUUGAAAACAUCCUCAGUAAUCCUUCAAGGAGUAACGUUUGCUCAUGGAAAUUACAAUGAUAUAGGUUGUGAAGCGGUAAGUGGUAAAUUAGAAAGAGUAGCAGGGAUUCAAUGUCCAGCUGGCUAUCCAUCAUCUGGGAAUACAUCAGAUGAAAUUCUAACAACCCUUGGUCUGUUGGACGCUCCUGUUGUCAUUGGUCAUAUCGGCAAGUGUCCGGCUUCAGAAGAUUGUUACAAAAAGGCUGAUAACACUACAGCUAAAGCACUGCACGAAAAAGAUGCCCCUGCUCUUUGUCAAUCUCAAAGUGAUUUUAUCCACUGUUGGGAACAGGCAUUGUGUAAAUGUAAUCGGUAUACAGAUGUAGAAUAUCAAAAUUGGUUAACACAACAAAAGAACAUUCAUUUACAGUUAUGUAGAGCGGAUUCCUCCAUUACUGUUACCUAUCAAUGCGACUCAUCCGCCAUGGCUAGUGUAUCUGUGUUGAGUGUAUUAUUGUUUACGUUAGCCACGUUUUUGUUUUAAUUUCUUAAUUCCUCAAAUGUCAACUUAUGUUUUAAUGUUAGAACCUUUCCGAUGAAUAUUAAAUUACGACAUCUUUAGAAUAACUAACAUUUAUAUAAAUCAUAAUAUAGUAAACGUGAUCAGUCGACCUAUUAACAAUCCAUCCUCUGGUUUAAUAUUUUCCUGAAACCAAUGUCAAGGCCAGUAAUACGGCUAUG
Patella vulgata (common limpet) is the source of this 973-nucleotide long non-coding RNA. RefSeq lists it as uncharacterized. NCBI's taxonomy places the organism in Eukaryota, Metazoa, Mollusca, Gastropoda, Patellidae. The transcript has 8 exons. The record is from RefSeq and is a predicted model, not a curated record.